Molecule: ribosomal RNA, 405 nt
Filed under: uncultured bacterium
Lineage: Bacteria
Description: partial 16S ribosomal RNA
Rfam family: Bacterial small subunit ribosomal RNA
Source: RNAcentral
AUUGAACGCUGGCGGCAGGCCUAACACAUGCAAGUCGAACGAGUGGCGGACGGGUGAGUAAUGUCUGGGAAACUGCCUGAUGGAGGGGGAUAACUACUGGAAACGGUAGCUAAUACCGCAUACCAUCAGAUGUGCCCAGAUGGUAUUAGCUUGUUGGUUGGGUAAAGGCUCACCAAGGCGACGAUCCCUAGCUGGUCUGAGAGGAGGACUAGCCACUGUGGAACUGAGACACGGGCCAGACUCCUACGGGAGGCAGCAGGGGGGAAUAGUGCACAAUGGGCGCAAGCCUGACGCAGCCAUGCGGCGUGUAUGAAGGAGGCCUGCGGGUUGUAAAGUACUUUCAGCGGGGAGGCGUGACCCGCAGAAGAAGCACCGGCUAACUCCGUGCCAGCCGCCGCGUAAUUC